Long non-coding RNA from Dalotia coriaria, 668 nucleotides. RefSeq lists it as uncharacterized. NCBI's taxonomy places the organism in Eukaryota, Metazoa, Arthropoda, Insecta, Coleoptera, Staphylinidae. The record is from RefSeq and is a predicted model, not a curated record. The transcript is spliced from 2 exons.
GAUAUUGCUACAUCGAUACCGCAAUUUGAGAAGGUUUGUUUUCUUUUGAUUCUGCUCUUUUUACGGUACGGAUUAUAAUCCCUGGAUGACGCGACCAAUUCACACUGUAUACUAAUGAUUCAAGAUUGAAUGUAUUCAAAUCAGUGUAAAAUUUUCCCAUAUUUAUUUAUUUCUAUGUGGCGGUAUUGUAGCUAGAAACUCCUUUUAUUUGAUUUUAUUGCGUGGAAUCGACGCGCAGCCAAUCAGGCCGCGGAGAAACAAUUUGCUGCGAAACGACGGGUUGCGACAAGGACACCAAUUUAUAACCUCAUCGACGACGGCGUAUCGUUUAACUACCUACGUAGGGGUACAUCACUUCUUCUAAUAAUCUUCGAAGACGAUCUGUAGAACAUCAUUAUGAGUCUGUUGCGGUCUUUGGGGAAGAAGCACGUCGAAAUCUUCUCCCAAUUUAUUGGUUCAGCUGCAUGUUAUGGAACUGCUGCAACUACCCUUGUUAUUUACAUAACAGACUGGAAAACGGUUCUGCAAUACCUGCCCUACUGGAAUGGUAAAUACCCCAAAGAAGUUGAAGAAAAGUAAUUAAAUAUGUGUUUCUGUAAUAAAUUAGAAUAGAUUACAUAUUACCCAUGUUUAUUAGAAUGCUAAAUAAAAAAACAUCUAGAUAACAA